UUGAGGUUUCUUGGGUGG
Molecule: non-coding RNA, 18 nt
Filed under: Arabidopsis thaliana (thale cress)
Lineage: Eukaryota; Viridiplantae; Streptophyta; Magnoliopsida; Brassicales; Brassicaceae
Source: RNAcentral